AUCCAACUGACGAGUCCCAAAUGGGACGAAACGCGCAUCCUGGAU
This 45-nucleotide non-coding RNA is filed under the name Schistosoma margrebowiei. The record is from RNAcentral. Lineage: Eukaryota; Metazoa; Platyhelminthes; Trematoda; Strigeidida; Schistosomatidae.